AUACGGAGGGUGCAAGCGUUAUUCGGAAUCACUGGGCGUAAAGGACGCGUAGGCGGGUUGGCAAGUCAGAUGUGAAAUCCUACAGCUUAACUGUAGAACUGCAUUUGAAACUGCUAACCUAGAGUAUGGGAGGGGGAGAUGGAAUUAGUGGUGUAGGGGUAAAAUCCGUGGAUAUCACUAGGAAUACCGAAAGCGAAGGCGAUCUCCUGGAACAUAACUGACGCUAAGGCGUGAAAGCGUGGGGAGCAAACAGGAUUAGAAACCCUAGUAGUCC
This 274-nucleotide ribosomal RNA is filed under the name uncultured bacterium. RNAcentral describes it as "partial 16S ribosomal RNA". It matches the Rfam family "Bacterial small subunit ribosomal RNA", at positions 523 to 796 of the family's 1533-position model. The record is from RNAcentral.